UUGGGAAUCUUGGACAAUGCCUNAAACCCUGAUCCAGCCAUGCCGCGUGAGUGAUGAAGGCCUUCGGGUUGUAAAACUCUUUCGACGGGGACNAUAAUGACGGUACCCGUAGAAGAAGCUCCGGCUAACUUCGUGCCAGCAGCCGCGGUAAUACGAAGGGGGCUAGCGUUGUUCGGAAUUACUGGGCGUAAAGCGCGCGCAGGCGGUCUUCCAAGUCAGUGGUGAAAGCCUGGAGCUCAACUCCAGAACUGCCAUUGAAACUGUUAGACUUGAGUACGAGAGAGGUGAGUGGAAUUCCCAGUGUAGAGGUGAAGUUCGUAGAUAUUGGGAAGAACACCAGUGGCGAAGGCGGCUCACUGGCUCGUAACUGACGCUCAGGCGCGACAGCGUGGGGAUCAAACAGGAUUAGAUACCCUGGUAGUCCACGCCGUAAACGAUGAAUGCUAGCCGUUGGAUAGCUUGCUAUUCAGUGGCGCAGCUAACGCAUUAAGCAUUCCGCCUGGGGAGUACGGCCGCAAGGUUG
Molecule: ribosomal RNA, 523 nt
Filed under: uncultured bacterium
Lineage: Bacteria
Description: bacterial SSU rRNA
Rfam family: Bacterial small subunit ribosomal RNA
Source: RNAcentral